UAGGGGCUUGACCGGCGCGCCUCGCUGGU
RNAcentral lists this small RNA (29 nucleotides) under Bombyx mori (domestic silkworm). RNAcentral's name for it is "ovarian small RNA-22723". Lineage: Eukaryota; Metazoa; Arthropoda; Insecta; Lepidoptera; Bombycidae. The record is from RNAcentral.